Molecule: ribosomal RNA, 427 nt
Filed under: uncultured bacterium
Lineage: Bacteria
Description: partial 16S ribosomal RNA
Rfam family: Bacterial small subunit ribosomal RNA
Source: RNAcentral
UGGGGAAUAUUGCACAAUGGGCGCAAGCCUGAUGCAGCCAUGCAGCGUGUAUGAAGAAGGCCUUCGGGUUGUAAAGUACUUUCAGCGAGGAGGCAGGCAUUGUGGUUAAUAACCGCAGUGAUUGACGUUCCUCGCAGAAGAAGCACCAGCUAACUCCGUGCCAGCAGCCGCGGUAAUACGGAGGGUGCAAGCGUUAAUCGGAAUUACUGGGCGUAAAGCGCACGCAGGCGGUCUGUCAAGUCGGAUGUGAAAUCCCCGGGCUCAACCUGGGAACUGCAUCCGAAACUGGCAGGCUAGAGUCUUGUAGAGGGGGGUAGAAUUCCAGGUGUAGCGGUGAAAUGCGUAGAGAUCUGGAGGAAUACCGGUGGCGAAGGCGGCCCCCUGGACAAAGACUGACGCUCAGGUGCGAAAGCGUGGGGAGCAAACA